AGCUGGUCUCCAAACAGUCGCCAUCGCCGGAGUAAACGAGAAGCCGCCGAAGAGGUCUCGCUAGCCGAAAGUUUAAACAUUCAGCAACAUGAAGUUCUUACUUGUGUCCAUCUGUCUUAUGCUGCUGGCCUUUGCCGUGGUAUCGGCCGUACCUGCCACCCAUGACGAAGGUAUCCUGGGCUCGGAUGGUGCCGCAAGUGACGAUACCGUGAAUCCCCAAGAUCCACAAGAGUUUCUUAAGCUGAAGAAACUGUUGUUCCUGAAAAAAUUCCUCUUCUUGGGAUGAUCUGCAAAUCCCACACGCCCGGCCACCAAAACCAUAGUUCAAUAGUUAAAUGAAUGAAUAAUCUAAGUCAAUUUGGUCGUAAAACACAGCAGCGAGACAAGAUGCUUUUAGCCGUCUCUAGAUUUUACUAGGCACGGGUUGUAUGAUUCUGUGUGUUUUGUUUUACUAUAGGAUUAAUGAACAAGCAAAGCUGAAAACGGCCAGUCACAUCACAGUAAUUGAAUUGUACACCUUCAAUAAACGAUUUGAGCUGUUUUUUAUAGCAAACUGGCUUUUAAUUUCUGAGUAGGACAUGAAAUAACCUUGCCUUAUUUGUUAUUCUAGUUCGUUACCAAUAACAACAGCUGUAUCACAUGAAGGCAUACCCUGUUGAUAUUUUUUGCAAUCAUUAGGUAGGAAAAAAGCGUAUCCGAUUGUUAAUUUAUCUGUGACCUUAAACAGCAUUGUUGUACUGUAUCUGGUUGUGUUAAAAGCGACACAGGGACAUAUUUUUUUGCAGUUAUUUAAAGGUAAAUUUGGACAUUAGAAAAAUAAACAGCGGAUUUAAUAACAAUCUUA
Wyeomyia smithii (pitcher-plant mosquito) is the source of this 844-nucleotide long non-coding RNA. RefSeq lists it as uncharacterized. Lineage: Eukaryota; Metazoa; Arthropoda; Insecta; Diptera; Culicidae. The transcript has 2 exons. The record is from RefSeq and is a predicted model, not a curated record.